GUCACCAAGGCAAGAGCUACAAGGAGAAACAUCGGCUGCUCUGCUGAAAAUGAGCACUCUUAGCAGUGCAGAAACAGGGGCAUCACUUAGUUAGGUGGGAUCUCUGUACUUGAUGUCUACAUGCCAAAACAAGAUGACCUGAACAUUACUUUGUCUGUGC
Molecule: long non-coding RNA, 160 nt
Organism: Carcharodon carcharias (great white shark)
Lineage: Eukaryota; Metazoa; Chordata; Chondrichthyes; Lamniformes; Lamnidae
Exons: 3
Source: RefSeq, a predicted model, not a curated record